CUACCGGGGUAUCUAAUCCCGUUCGCUCCCCUAGCUUUCGCGUCUCAGCGUCAGUAGACGUCCAGGACCUCGCUUUCGCCACGGGCGUUCCUUCCGAUCUCAACGCAUUUCACCGCUCCACCGGAAGUUCCAGGUCCCCCUACGUCCCUCCAGACGGGGCGUUUCGGCGCCCGUUCCCCGGUUGAGCCGGGGGCUUUCAGCGACCGACGUCCCCAUCCGCCUACACGCGCUUUAAGCCCAGUGAUUCCGAAUAACGUUCGCACGGUUCGUCUUACCGCGGCUGCUGGCAC
This 290-nucleotide ribosomal RNA is filed under the name uncultured Planctomycetaceae bacterium. Its description in RNAcentral is "partial 16S ribosomal RNA". The record is from RNAcentral. Lineage: Bacteria; Pseudomonadati; Planctomycetota; Planctomycetia; Planctomycetales; Planctomycetaceae.